UGGGGAAUUUUGCGCAAUGGGGGAAACCCUGACGCAGCAACGCCGCGUGGAGGAUGAAGUACUUCGGUACGUAAACUCCUUUCGAUCGGGACGAUAAUGACGGUACCGGAAGAAGAAGCCCCGGCUAACUUCGUGCCAGCAGCCGCGGUAAUACGAGGGGGGCAAGCGUUGUUCGGAAUUAUUGGGCGUAAAGGGUGCGUAGGCGGUCUGACAAGUCUGAUGUGAAAUCUAUGGGCUCAACCCAUAGUCUGCAUCGGAAACUGUCGGGCUUGAGUAUGGGAGAGGUGAGUGGAAUUUCCGGUGUAGCGGUGAAAUGCGUAGAUAUCGGAAGGAACACCUGUGGCGAAAGCGGCUCACUGGACCAUUACUGACGCUGAGGCACGAAAGCUAGGGGAGCAAACAGGAUUAGAUACCCUGGUAGUCCUAGCCCUAAACGAUGAUUGCUUGAUGUGGCAGGUACCCAAUCCUGCCGUGUCGAAGCUAACGCGAUAAGCAAUCCGCCUGGGGAGUACGGUCGCAAGGCUG
Molecule: ribosomal RNA, 525 nt
Filed under: uncultured bacterium
Lineage: Bacteria
Description: bacterial SSU rRNA
Rfam family: Bacterial small subunit ribosomal RNA
Source: RNAcentral